This 254-nucleotide ribosomal RNA is filed under the name uncultured bacterium. RNAcentral's name for it is "partial 16S ribosomal RNA". It matches the Rfam family "Bacterial small subunit ribosomal RNA", at positions 524 to 776 of the family's 1533-position model. The record is from RNAcentral.
CACGUGGGGUGCGAGCGUUGUCCGGAAUUAUUGGGCGUAAAGAGCUCGUAGGCGGUGUGUCGCGUCGGCCGUGAAAACCUGGGGCUUAACUCUGGGCUUGCGGUCGAUACGGGCAUCACUGGAGUUCGGCAGGGGAGACUGGAAUUCCUGGUGUAGCGGUGAAAUGCGCAGAUAUCAGGAGGAACACCGGUGGCGAAGGCGGGUCUCUGGGCCGAUACUGACGCUGAGGAGCGAAAGCGUGGGGAGCGAACAGG